CGCGUGGUUCUAUUUUGUUGGUUUUUAGAACCGCCGUAAUGAUUAAUAGGGACAGUCGGGGGCAUCUGUAUUCAAUUGUCAGAGGUGAAAUUCUUGGAUCUAUUGAAGACAAACUACUGCGAAAGCAUUUGCCAAGGAUGUUUUCAUUGAUAAGGAACGAAAGUUAGGGGAUCGAAGACGAUCAGAUACCGUCGUAGUCUUAACUAUAAACUAUGCCGACUAGGGAUCGGACGAUGUUAUUUUUUGACUCGUUCGGCACCUUUCGAGAAAUCAAAGUGCUUGGGCUCCAGGGGGAGUAUGGUCGCAAGGCUGAAACUUAAAGAAAUUGACGGAAGGGCACCACCAGGGGUGGAGCCUGCGGCUUAAUUUGACUCAACACGGGGAAACUCACCAGGUCCAGACACAGUGGGGAUUGACAGAUUGAUAGCUCUUUCUUGAUUCUGUGGGUGGUGGUGCAUGGCCGUUCUUAGUUGGUGGAGUGAUUUGUCUGCUUAAUUGCNAUAACNAACGAGACCUUAACCUGCUAAAUAGCCCGUUCUGCUCCGGCAGUACGCUGGCUUCUUAGAGGGACUAUCGGCUCAAGCCGAUGGAAGUUUGANGCAAUAACAGGUCUGUGAUGCCCUUANAUGUCCUGGGGCCGCACGCGCGUUACACUGACAAAGCCNGCGAGUAUUUCCUUANCCGGAAGGNUUGGGUAAUCUUGNUAAACUUUGUCGUGC
This 719-nucleotide ribosomal RNA is filed under the name uncultured fungus. Its description in RNAcentral is "SSU rRNA". It matches the Rfam family "Eukaryotic small subunit ribosomal RNA", at positions 827 to 1570 of the family's 1831-position model. The record is from RNAcentral. Lineage: Eukaryota; Fungi.